Molecule: long non-coding RNA, 339 nt
Organism: Pelmatolapia mariae (spotted tilapia)
Lineage: Eukaryota; Metazoa; Chordata; Actinopteri; Cichliformes; Cichlidae
Exons: 3
Source: RefSeq, a predicted model, not a curated record
CAGAAGCUUAGCUCGUUGCAACAUGGCAAAUUGAACCUCCCCCACCCUCAUUCAGAUCUGGCGUUUGGAACUGUUUUGGUCUUCAUGUGAAGUAUGACCCUGAAGGAAAAUCAGUCGAUCUGAGUCGGUGCAGUCUGAUAAGGAACGUUACCUUUGAGGAUGAGAGCCAUUCUGCUGGACGUUUGGAUUGUACUGACUGGACCCUGGAGUCAGAGGCAUGCUAGCAGCUGGGGAAACUGAUGAUUUCAUCAUACCUUCAGUGGAGCACUGAAUGCCUGAGGUGGGCCCCCAUAAUGCCCGUAGAGGGGCUGCGUAGGACCAGAUCCGAAUCCACCUUGA